This 73-nucleotide transfer RNA is filed under the name Homo sapiens (human). It matches the Rfam family "tRNA". Rfam says of the family: Transfer RNA (tRNA) molecules are approximately 80 nucleotides in length. Their secondary structure includes four short double-helical elements and three loops (D, anti-codon, and T loops). Further hydrogen bonds mediate the characteristic L-shaped molecular structure. tRNAs have two regions of fundamental functional importance: the anti-codon, which is responsible for specific mRNA codon recognition, and the 3' end, to which the tRNAs corresponding amino acid is attached (by aminoacyl-tRNA synthetases). tRNAs cope with the degeneracy of the genetic code in two manners: having more than one tRNA (with a specific anti-codon) for a particular amino acid; and 'wobble' base-pairing, i.e. permitting non-standard base-pairing at the 3rd anti-codon position. The record is from Rfam by way of RNAcentral. Lineage: Eukaryota; Metazoa; Chordata; Mammalia; Primates; Hominidae.
GCCAGGAUAGUUCAGGUGGUAGAGCAUCAGACUUUUAACCUGAGGGUUCAGGGUUCAAGUCUCUGUUUGGGCG